GGAACAUUUCUCCCGGCUGGAACACUUGUGUUCUCCGGAGUCCUAGCUGCGACACGACCACGGGCACCGGCAGACAGUUCUGAAGCUUCACGGCCGGCUUUAGGACGAUGUCGUAGCACGAAGACGCGAACGUAUGACGUUCGCGCCACACGAACGGAGACACAGAUACGGUAAAACCUGGAUCACGACAACAUUAUAUAAUAACAAAUCUAUUUUACAUGUACAAUAUGAGACUGAAUGAAAAUAAGGCCUACAACACACCUUCGACUGAGAAAAAUAUCUCCGCGGUGGGUGUGUGAACAGCCUGUAGCGGAAGACGAAGAGUGUCACCAGGAGCCACCUCGCCCAACAGACGGACCUCGUUGCCGCUUAGUGUCAUGUAGUACACAGACACAUUCACUGACAGAGUAUUAGUGACCUGACGUAAAGAUAACCGCACACCUGUACUAUACUCCGAAGGUAAAUAUGAAGCGCGGCGUCAUGCAUUACGACGUCCGAGAUGAGCCCGCGAGGUUCCACGGCAGCGGCGUGCGGCACGUUCUUGGCAUUCAUGUCCCCAGUGCGUUUCUUCCCUAUAGAGAAAUAUCUUUUGUCCGCACGUUCAACUGGUAUUUGGAUUUCUUCUUCCAUUUCUACUAUCUGAAAAUUUUUCAAAAUAAACAAGUUUGUCAUGGAACAUCAAUUACGUAUGAUUACGUAUAAAUAAUUAUUCAAGCAAAUUUGGUAAUGAGUUUGUGGUAUAUAAUAAAUACCUUAACGUUUAGCUUCAACGGCGGCGGAGGUUCGUUUAGUUUCAUAACAUUAAUACCGCCAUGUUUUAAUUGCAACGGCAAGCAGGCUCCAGGUUCCAGAAC
This is a long non-coding RNA of Danaus plexippus (monarch butterfly), 854 nucleotides long. RefSeq lists it as uncharacterized. The transcript is spliced from 3 exons. The record is from RefSeq and is a predicted model, not a curated record. Lineage: Eukaryota; Metazoa; Arthropoda; Insecta; Lepidoptera; Nymphalidae.